This 1437-nucleotide ribosomal RNA is filed under the name uncultured bacterium. RNAcentral's name for it is "bacterial SSU rRNA". It matches the Rfam family "Bacterial small subunit ribosomal RNA". The record is from RNAcentral.
GGCUUAACACAUGCAAGUCGAGGGGCAGCAUGGUCUUAGCUUGCUAAGGCCGAUGGCGACCGGCGCACGGGUGAGUAACACGUAUCCAACCUGCCGUCUACUCUUGGACAGCCUUCUGAAAGGAAGAUUAAUACAAGAUGGCAUCAUGAGUCCGCAUGUUCACAUGAUUAAAGGUAUUCCGGUAGACGAUGGGGAUGCGUUCCAUUAGAUAGUAGGCGGGGUAACGGCCCACCUAGUCUUCGAUGGAUAGGGGUUCUGAGAGGAAGGUCCCCCACAUUGGAACUGAGACACGGUCCAAACUCCUACGGGAGGCAGCAGUGAGGAAUAUUGGUCAAUGGGCGAGAGCCUGAACCAGCCAAGUAGCGUGAGGGAUGACUGCCCUAUGGGUUGUAAACUUCUUUUAUAAAGGAAUAAAGUCGGGUAUGGAUACCCGUUUGCAUGUACUUUAUGAAUAAGGAUCGGCUAACUCCGUGCCAGCAGCCGCGGUAAUACGGAGGAUCCGAGCGUUAUCCGGAUUUAUUGGGUUUAAAGGGAGCGUAGAUGGAUGUUUAAGUCAGUUGUGAAAGUUUGCGGCUCAACCGUAAAAUUGCAGUUGAUACUGGAUAUCUUGAGUGCAGUUGAGGCAGGCGGAAUUCGUGGUGUAGCGGUGAAAUGCUUAGAUAUCACGAAGAACUCCGAUUGCGAAGGCAGCCUGCUAAGCUGCAACUGACAUUGAGGCUCGAAAGUGUGGGUAUCAAACAGGAUUAGAUACCCUGGUAGUCCACACGGUAAACGAUGAAUACUCGCUGUUUGCGAUAUACUGCAAGCGGCCAAGCGAAAGCGUUAAGUAUUCCACCUGGGGAGUACGCCGGCAACGGUGAAACUCAAAGGAAUUGACGGGGGCCCGCACAAGCGGAGGAACAUGUGGUUUAAUUCGAUGAUACGCGAGGAACCUUACCCGGGCUUAAAUUGCAGAUGAAUUACGGUGAAAGCCGUAAGCCGCAAGGCAUCUGUGAAGGUGCUGCAUGGUUGUCGUCAGCUCGUGCCGUGAGGUGUCGGCUUAAGUGCCAUAACGAGCGCAACCCUUGUUGUCAGUUACUAACAGGUUCCGCUGAGGACUCUGACAAGACUGCCAUCGUAAGAUGUGAGGAAGGUGGGGAUGACGUCAAAUCAGCACGGCCCUUACGUCCGGGGCUACACACGUGUUACAAUGGGGGGUACAGAGGGCCGCUACCACGCGAGUGGAUGCCAAUCCCCAAAACCUCUCUCAGUUCGGACUGGAGUCUGCAACCCGACUCCACGAAGCUGGAUUCGCUAGUAAUCGCGCAUCAGCCACGGCGCGGUGAAUACGUUCCCGGGCCUUGUACACACCGCCCGUCAAGCCAUGGGAGCCGGGGGUACCUGAAGUGCGUAACCGCGAGGAGCGCCCUAGGGUAAAACUGGUGACUGGGGCUAAAU